Rana temporaria (common frog) is the source of this 157-nucleotide small nucleolar RNA. Lineage: Eukaryota; Metazoa; Chordata; Amphibia; Anura; Ranidae. The record is from RefSeq and is a predicted model, not a curated record.
UUUGCACACUGUUAGAACUUGGAGAUGAGGUCAAUUCUGGCCUGUGAACUCUUGAGUGUAGGAAGUGUGCUAUAUAGACAUGGCAGGUUUCACACCAGUAGUAGCAUUUCUGCUUCGGUGACUGGAAUUUGAAGACAAUUGUCAUCUUGCCACAUUU